RNAcentral lists this long non-coding RNA (1261 nucleotides) under Cricetulus griseus (Chinese hamster). RNAcentral's name for it is "lncRNA (ENSCGRG00000024429.1)". The record is from RNAcentral. Lineage: Eukaryota; Metazoa; Chordata; Mammalia; Rodentia; Cricetidae.
UAAAUGUCACACGGUUCUCAGUCUUCUGAGAACAUCUGUGAAGUGAUGUUAGCAUGUUAGACUAAUAGAGUUGGUUGUUGGGAAGUUACACCAUUGCAAACUGUAAGAAACACUGGUGCUGUGUGGUCUGUGAGUCGCCUCUUGGCAGGCCUGGGCCUAGGUUCAUCUUGCUAUGCCCAAAUCAGAUCAGGUCUCGUCCGUGGCCUAUGGUGAUAUGUUAGCCUGGUGUUAUGUGCAUUUUUGUUUCAGACAUGCAUAGCUUUAGUCCUGUAGUAUUUUAGCUGUAACUUGGUGGAGCUCAGCUCACGCUUUGUAGCUACACAAAUCCUUGGCAAAACCCAGGUAUGAGGCUGUGAAGAUUAAUACUCUCCAUUUGACAGGUCCUAGGGCCACCAGAUCAUGCCUCUGAUGGAUGGAUAAUCUAGGUCCUGUUAAUCUAAGUGGAAGACCCAUUCUACCUAUAAGAGAUACCCAUUCCACGGGCCUGGGUCCAUGCUGAAUAAAAAGGAGAAAGUGAACUCUCUUUGCUUCCUGAUUGUCAGUGUGACCAGCUGCCACCCUGUGUUUUCCUCCACGGUGGACUGUGAGCCCCUUAAACUGUGAGACAAAGCCUUGGAGCAUGAUUAGACAACCUGGUGUCUGUUGCCAAGGAGGUUGUUGACCUCCUCUGCCCACUGACUUCAGCCAUGCAGAAAGUACUUGAACUUCUUCUCCAAGGUCAUGCCACUUUAUAGUAUUUAGGGAUGGGAGUUCCAAACUUAACCUGCGUCUGCCUGGUUACAAACCAUGGUCUUUGAUAUCAUACCAGUCUCUCCAUUGCAGUAGCAUGUAAAAAUGUCAGCAACAACAAAAAAUCUGCUUCUUAAUGGCUUUUGGAUUCUAAAUAUAUUUGAAAAUACAGCCAUCUUCAUGUGUAAAUGUUGUAAUCUUUUCUCACCAAAUCAAUCAGAACUCCUGACCCAUGUUUCUGAGAAGCAUGGCGAAGAAGGGGUCAAUGUGGAUGACGUCAUCAUUCCGCUCAGGCCCCUGAGUACUCCUGAAGCCCCGAACCCAAGCAAGGGUGGAGAUGGUAAGGACGGCUGGCGUGCUGGGCAGGGUCUUGGGAUACAGGGACACUCUAGCUUUCUGUGAGGCCCGCCCUCUGGUUCAUGGACACAGCUGAAACUUAGAAAAUCUACUUGGAGCCACAUGAUUGUCAGAGUGUAGAUCUUGUGGAAGAUCAGAUGCGUGUGUAUGCGUGUGCUUGUGUAUGUAUGUAUGU